RNAcentral lists this ribosomal RNA (273 nucleotides) under uncultured bacterium. Its description in RNAcentral is "partial 16S ribosomal RNA". It matches the Rfam family "Bacterial small subunit ribosomal RNA", at positions 86 to 354 of the family's 1533-position model. The record is from RNAcentral.
CGCCGGCGACCGGCGCACGGGUGAGUAACACGUAUGCAACCUGGCCGUGACAGAUGGAUAACCGGGAGAAAUACCCGCCUAAUACAACAUAAUGCCGGGAGGGGACAUCCCCUGCCGGUCAAAGGGGGCGACCCCGGUCACGGAUGGGCAUGCGGCGCAUUAGGUAGUUGGUGGGGCAACGGCCCACCAAGCCGACGAUGCGUAGGGGUUCUGAGAGGAAGGUCCCCCACAUUGGAACUGAGACACGGUCCAAACUCCUACGGAAGGCAGCAG